Molecule: ribosomal RNA, 245 nt
Filed under: Clostridioides difficile
Lineage: Bacteria; Bacillati; Bacillota; Clostridia; Peptostreptococcales; Peptostreptococcaceae
Description: partial 16S ribosomal RNA
Rfam family: Bacterial small subunit ribosomal RNA
Source: RNAcentral
AGCUCUUGAAACUGGGAGACUUGAGUGCAGGAGAGGAGAGUGGAAUUCCUAGUGUAGCGGUGAAAUGCGUAGAUAUUAGGAGGAACACCAGUUGCGAAGGCGGCUCUCUGGACUGUAACUGACGCUGGGGCACGAAAGCGUGGGGAGCAAACAGGAUUAGAUACCCUGGUAGUCCACGCUGUAAACGAUGAGUACUAGGUGUCGGGGGUUACCCCCCUCGGUGCCGCAGCUAACGCAUUAAGUAC